AUCUGCAUGGGAAACUGUAAGAUCUGGAAGUCACGGGGAGAGUAAAGUGGAAUUCCUAGUGUAGGCGGUGAAUUGGGGAGAUACUGAGGAGAAACACCGGUGGCGAAGGGCGGGUAUUCUGGAACAGUAACUGACGUUGAGGGCGGCGAAAGCGUGGGGAGCACCCAGGAUUGAGAUACCUUGGUAGUCCACCGCUGUAAACGAUGAAUACUAGGGUGUGGAGGGGUAUGAAACUCCUCUCUGUGCCGCAGUUACACACAUAUAAGUAUUCCACUUGGGGAGUACGACGCGCAAAGGUUGAAACUCAAAGGAAUUGACGGGGACCCCGCACAAGCAGUGGAGUAUGUGGUUUAAUUGGAAGCAACGCGAAGACCUUUACCAAUGCUUGACAUAGUAUAGAAUACAGGGGAGACAUUGUACUCUUUGGGGACAGUAUUCCAGGUGGUGCAUGGUUGUGUUCAGCUCGUGUCGUGAGAUGUUGGGUUAAGUCCCGCAACGAGCCCAACCCUUGUCAUUAGUUGCCAGCAUUAAGUUGGGCACUUUAGUGAGACUGCCGGUGAGAAAUUGGAGGAAGGGGGGGACGACGUCAAAUCAUCAUGCCCCUUAUGUCUUGGGGUACACACGUACUACAAUGGCUAUUACAGAAGGCAAGGAAGGAGUAAUCCGGAGGGAAUUCCCAAAGAUAGUCCCAGUUCGGAUUGUGGGCUGAAACCCGC
Molecule: ribosomal RNA, 716 nt
Filed under: uncultured bacterium
Lineage: Bacteria
Description: bacterial SSU rRNA
Rfam family: Bacterial small subunit ribosomal RNA
Source: RNAcentral